CGGCCGGGAUAGCUCAGUUGGUAGAGCAGAGGACUGAAAAUC
RNAcentral lists this transfer RNA (42 nucleotides) under Diplotaxis tenuifolia. RNAcentral describes it as "partial tRNA-Phe". It matches the Rfam family "tRNA", at positions 1 to 39 of the family's 71-position model. From Rfam's summary of the family: Transfer RNA (tRNA) molecules are approximately 80 nucleotides in length. Their secondary structure includes four short double-helical elements and three loops (D, anti-codon, and T loops). Further hydrogen bonds mediate the characteristic L-shaped molecular structure. tRNAs have two regions of fundamental functional importance: the anti-codon, which is responsible for specific mRNA codon recognition, and the 3' end, to which the tRNAs corresponding amino acid is attached (by aminoacyl-tRNA synthetases). tRNAs cope with the degeneracy of the genetic code in two manners: having more than one tRNA (with a specific anti-codon) for a particular amino acid; and 'wobble' base-pairing, i.e. permitting non-standard base-pairing at the 3rd anti-codon position. The record is from RNAcentral. Lineage: Eukaryota; Viridiplantae; Streptophyta; Magnoliopsida; Brassicales; Brassicaceae.